UGCCAGCAGUCGCGGUUAAACCAGUAAGUUAAGUUAUAUAUUUUGGUAAAAAGACAGUUAGACAAAGAUUAGCUUAUUGAUUUCCAUUAUAAAAGUAAAAUUUGAUAAGGGUAUAAUAAAAUAAUAAUAGCUUAAUUGUUGAAUCUGUGAUACCUUUAAGGGAAACUGGGAUUGGAUACCCCAUUAUUUUUAGAUGUAAAUAAAGAAAUUUACCAGAGUACUACAAAUAAAAUAAUUUAAAACUCAAAGAGCUUGGCGGUAUUUUAGACCACUUAGGGGAACCUGUCUCAUAAUCGACAAUCCACGUUAAACCUUACCUUUUUUAGUUAUCAACUUGUAUACCGUUGUCAUCAGGUAACUUUUAAAGAAAAGAGAAGUUAGCUAAGAAAUUUUUUAAAUUAAGAUGUCAAAUCAAGGUGCAGUUUAUAAAAAGGAGAAGAUGGGUUACAAUUAUAAAUUAUAAUACGAAUAUGCAUAUUGCAAAUAGCUUGAAGGAGGACUUAAAAGUAAAUUUUUAUAUAUAGAUAACUUGAACAAGGCUCUAAAAUGUGCACACAUCGCCCGCCACUCU
This 571-nucleotide ribosomal RNA is filed under the name Thatcheria mirabilis. RNAcentral describes it as "partial 12S ribosomal RNA". The record is from RNAcentral. Lineage: Eukaryota; Metazoa; Mollusca; Gastropoda; Neogastropoda; Raphitomidae.